AGUGACUUAAAUCAUUUAGAAAAUGGCUUCAUAUGAAGGAUCAUGUCUAAUUAUUUGUAAUUUUUCUUGAAAAACAACAUUUCAUAACUACACCAGACCCCUCAUCGCUUAAGGUUAGAAACUUACCCUUUUAUAAAACAAAGCUUUAUUUUCAUCAAAAAUCAUCUGCAAACGUCCCGUAGAGUUGUGGAGAAGCACUUAGCAUUAAAAUGAAACGUAAAUAUCACCUUCAGUUUUUACCCUAAAAUUACCAAAACAUGUAAGACUAUAGUCUUACCUUCAUCACUGUUUUUGGACCAUUCUUAAAUUCAAUUUAUUUUCAUGAAAAGUGACUUAAAUCAGUUAGAAAAUGGCUUCAUAUGAAGGAUUAUGUCUAAUUUAUAGUAAUUUUUCUUGAAAAAUAACAUUUCAUAACUACGCCAGACCCCUCAUCGCUUGAGGUUAGAAACUUACCCUUUUAUAAAACAAAGCUUUAUUUUCAUCAAAAAUCAUCCGCAAACGUCCCGGAAUGGUCUGGAGAAGCACUUAGCAUUAAAAUUAAACAUAAAUAUAACCUUCAGUUUUUACCCUAAAAUUACCAAAACAUGUAAGACUAUAGUCUUACCUUCAUCAGUGUUUUUGGCCCGUUGUUAAAUUCUCUCAAUUUUCAUGAAAAGUGACUUAAAUCAGUUAGAAAAUUACUUUAUAUGAAGGAUUAUGUCCAAUUAUUUGUAAUUUUUCUUGAAAAAUAACAUUUCCUAACUACACCAGACCCCUCAUCGCUUAAGGUUAGAAACCUACCUUUCUAUAAAAUACAGCGUUAUUUUCAUGAAAAAUCAUGUGAAAACAUCCCGGAACGGUGUGGAGAAGCUCUGUGUUUCCAAAUGAAACGUAAAUAUCACCUUCAGUUUUUACCCUAAAAUUACCAAAACAUGUAAGACUAUAGUCUUACCUUCAUCACUGUUUUUGGACCGUUCUUAAAUUCUUUUUAUUUUCAUGAAAAGUGACUUAAAUCAGUUAGAAAAUGUCUUUAUAUGAAGGAUUAUGUCCAAUUAUUUGUCAUUUUUCUUGAAAAACAACAUUUCCUAACUACACCAGACCCCUCAUCGCUUAAGGUUAGAAUCUUACCUUUCUAUAAAAUACAGCUUUAUUUUCACUAAAAAUCAUCUGCAAACGUCCCGGAAUGGUCUGGAGAAGCACUUAGCAUUAAAAUGAAACGUAAAUAUAACCUUCAGUUUUUACCCUAAAAUUACCAAAACAUGUAAGACUUCUCUCAAUUUUCAUGAAAAGUGACUUAAAUCAGUUAGAAAAUGGCUUCAUAUGAAGGAGUAUGUCUAAUUUAUAGUAAUUUUUAUUGAAAAAUAACAUUUCAUAACUACACCAGACCCCUCAUCGCUGAAGCUUAGAAACUUACCGUUUUAUAAAAUACAGCUUUAUUUUCAUUUAAAAUCAUCCGCAAACGUCCCAGAACGGUGUGGAGAAGCUCUGAGGUUCCAAAUGAAACGUAAAUAUCACCUUCAGUUUUUACCCUAAAAUUACCAAAACAUGUAAGACUAUAGUCUUACCUUCAUCACUGUUUUUGGACCAUUCUUAAAUUCUAUUUAUUUUCAUGAAAAGUGACUUAAAUCAGUUAGAAAAUGGCUUCAUAUGAAGGAGUAUGUCUAAUUUAUAGUAAUUUUUCUUAAAAAAUAACAUUUCAUAAGUACACCAGACGCCUCCCCUAAAUGGUAGAAACUUACCUUUUUAUAAAACAAAGCUUUAUUUUCAUCAAAAAUCUUCCGCAAACGUCCCGGAAUGGUCUGGAGAAGCACUUAGCAUUAAAAUGAAACAUAAAUAUAGCCUUCAGUUUUUACCCUAAAAUUACCAAAACAUGUAAGACUAUAGUCUUACCUUCAUCACUGUUUUUGGACCGUUCUUAAAUUCUUUUUAUUUUCAUGAGAAGUGACUUAAAUCAGUUAGAAAAUGGCUUCAUAUGAAGGAUUAUGUCUAAUUUAUAGCAAUUUUUCUUGAAAAAUAACAUUUCAUAACUACGCCAGACCCCUCAUCGCUGAAGCUUAGAAACUUACCGUUUUAUAAAAUACAGCUUUAUUUUCAUUUAAAAUCAUCCGCAACCAUCCCAGAACGGUGUGGAGAAGCUCGGAGGUUCCAAAUGAAACGUAAAUAUCACCUUCAGUUUUUACCCUAAAAUUACCAAAACAUGUAAGACUAGUCUUACCUUCAUCACUGUUUUUGGACCAUUCUUAAAUUCUAUUUAUUUUCAUGAAAAGUGACUUAAAUCAGUUAGAAAAUGGCUUCAUAUGAAGGAGUAUGUCUAAUUUAUAGUAAUUUUUCUUGAAAAAUAACAUUUCAUAAGUACACCAGACGCCUCCCCUAAAUGGUAGAAACUUACCUUUUUAUAAAACAAAGCUUUAUUUUCAUCAAAAAUCUUCCGCAAACGUCCCGGAAUGGUCUGGAGAAGCACUUAGCAUUAAAAUGAAACAUAAAUAUCACCUUCAGUUUUUACCCUAAAAUUACCAAAACAUGUAAGACUAUAGUCUUACCUUCAUCAGUGUUUUUGGCCCGUUGUUAACUUCUCUCAAUUUUCAUGAAAAGUGACUUAAAUCAGUUAGAAAAUUACUUUAUAUGAAGGAUUAUGUCCAAUUAUUUGUAAUUUUUCUUGAAAAAUAACAUUUCCUAACUACACCAGACCCCUCAUCGCUUAAGGUUAGAAACCUACCUUUCUAUAAAAUACAGCGUUAUUUUCAUGAAAAAUCAUGUGAAAACAUCCAGGAACGGUGUGGAGAAGCUCUGUGUUUCCAAAUGAAACGUAAAUAUCACCUUCAGUUUUUACCCUAAAAUUACCAAAACAUGUAAGACUAUAGUCUUACCUUCAUCAGUGUUUUUAGACCGUUCUUAACUUCUCUCAAUUUUCAUGAAAAGUGACUUAAAUCAGUUAGAAAAUGGCUUCAUAUGAAGGAGUAUGUCUAAUUUAUAGUAAUUUUUAUUGAAAAAUAACAUUUCAUAACUACACCAGACCCCUCAUCGCUGAAGCUUAGAAACUUACCGUUUUAUAAAAUACAGCUUUAUUUUCAUUUAAAAUCAUCCGCAAACGUCCCAGAACGGUGUGGAGAAGCUCUGAGGUUCCAAAUGAAACGUAAAUAUCACCUUCAGUUUUUACCCUAAAAUUACCAAAACAUGUAAGACUAUAGUCUUACCUUCAUCAGUGUUUUUGGCCCGUUGUUAAAUUCUCUCAAUUUUCAUGAAAAGUGACUUAA
Pygocentrus nattereri (red-bellied piranha) is the source of this 3233-nucleotide long non-coding RNA. RefSeq lists it as uncharacterized. The record is from RefSeq and is a predicted model, not a curated record. NCBI's taxonomy places the organism in Eukaryota, Metazoa, Chordata, Actinopteri, Characiformes, Serrasalmidae. The transcript is spliced from 3 exons.